AUUUCUUACUAUAAUUGCGAUGCAGCAUACGGUAGGAGUAGGUGUACUUCUUUUUGUGUUCAGUUAUUAUGGAGAAUGUUCACAUUUCAGAGGAGGAACUAUAAGCUGGAAACCUAUACAUGGCCAUACGGUAAGACAAAACACUCCAACUAAAAACAUAUAUGACAAACAAAUUUGUGGCAUGCGAUUUUACAUACUGUAAAUCUAAACAAAUCUAUAACUACACUAUAAAAAAAACUAGUCUAUAUUUCACAUCUCAAAUCAGAUUAGGUCGUAGAGGGAAAACCUUUGAUUGAAAAAGAAAAUUGUUUAUUCUAUUGUAUAAAAUCAUAAAAUAACCAGUUGGUUUACACAUUGUUCAAUGUCUUCUCUUGGUAAGCAUUGAUGAUGUGGUUAAGUCAAACAAUGUUUUAAUGUACAUGUCAAUAUUUAAUUUAUUUCUUGCCAAUAUUUCUCUUAAAGUACAAACAUAAAUUGCUGUAAGAAUGACAAUCUUAUUGAUGAUGUUGGAUCACAAGAUUGUAUUAGUAUUUGCCGGGUUUACUAUCCAGUCGACCCCGACGAAAAAAUCGCUUUUCUGGGUUCGUAUGGAUAGUAAUCACGGCAAAUGGUAACAAACCCCUGUGGUUGGAUUAGUUAAUACAUCGUUUGCUAAAUGAUGGUGAAUUAAAUACAUGCCUGUCUAGUUGCAUUAUUAGUUGCCUUUUUGACUUAAAUACUUGAACUGUAAAUUCCAUUCUGUGAUUUCCAAAUUAAUCCGUAAAACAUAUGAUUUCGUUCGAUAAAAAGGUUAUUCGAAUGACACUUAUGAUCUAAACGUAGACCAUUUACUAUUUCAGCCCAAAGAUGGCAUAGGGAAGGGGCUGAUUAUCCUAAUAAAGUUGUACUAUAAAUAUUGUAGAUUGAAUUCACAUUCAAAAUGGGAUGGACUUUUGGAAGUGGACCAGGAUGUUCAAAUAGCAAAAUCGGACAGUUUGUUAACACAACAUUUAUAGGUGAUAAAAUCUGGAAAUGUGAUCAAGGUUGUAACGUGCCAAAGAAACCAGUAGGUACUGUUUUCUAUUAUUGUACUGGUGCCAAUGAAAUCGGUACUGAUGCUGAAAAAUGGGAACAAGGAGAAAAUCGUUUUCAAGAGACAUUCAU
This 1143-nucleotide long non-coding RNA is filed under the name Mytilus galloprovincialis (Mediterranean mussel). The record is from RNAcentral. Lineage: Eukaryota; Metazoa; Mollusca; Bivalvia; Mytilida; Mytilidae.